Molecule: ribosomal RNA, 199 nt
Filed under: Lactobacillus iners
Lineage: Bacteria; Bacillati; Bacillota; Bacilli; Lactobacillales; Lactobacillaceae
Description: partial 16S ribosomal RNA
Rfam family: Bacterial small subunit ribosomal RNA
Source: RNAcentral
UAAAUUGAGAGUUUAAUCCUGGCUCAGGACGAACGCUGGCGGCGUGCCUAAUACAUGCAAGUCGAGCGAGUCUGCCUUGAAGAUCGGAGUGCUUGCACUCUGUGAAACAAGAUACAGGCUAGCGGCGGACGGGUGAGUAACACGUGGGUAACCUGCCCAAGAGAUCGGGAUAACACCUGGAAACAGAUGCUAAUACCGG